RNAcentral lists this ribosomal RNA (393 nucleotides) under uncultured Synurales. Its description in RNAcentral is "partial small subunit ribosomal RNA". It matches the Rfam family "Eukaryotic small subunit ribosomal RNA", at positions 30 to 432 of the family's 1831-position model. Lineage: Eukaryota; Synurophyceae; Synurales. The record is from RNAcentral.
GCUUGUCUCAAAGAUUAAGCCAUGCAUGUCUAAGUAUAAACAAAUUUAUAGUGAAACUGCGAAUGGCUCAUUAUAUCAGUUAUAGUUUAUUUGGCGAUAAAAACUACUUGGAUAACCGUAGUAAUUCUAGAGCUAAUACAUGCAUAAAUCCCCGACUGUUUGGAAGGGGUGUAUUUAUUAGAUGGAAACCAAUUCGGGGCAACCCGGCUCAUGGUGAUUCAUAAUAACUUUCGGAUCGACCUUUCGGUCGAUGCAUCAUUCAAGUUUCUGCCCUAUCAGUUUUGGAUGGUAGGGUAUUGGCCUACCAUGACUUUAACGGGUAACGGAGAAUUAGGGUUCGAUUCCGGAGAGGGAGCCUGAGAAAUGGCUACCACAUCCAAGGAAGGCAGCAGG